GGUUAAGCGACUAAGCGUACACGGUGGAUGCCCUGGCAGUCAGAGGCGAUGAAGGACGUGCUAAUCUGCGAUAAGCGUCGGUAAGGUGAUAUGAACCGUUAUAACCGGCGAUUUCCGAAUGGGGAAACCCAGUGUGAUUCGUCACACUAUCAUUAACUGAAUCCAUAGGUUAAUGAGGCGAACCGGGGGAACUGAAACAUCUAAGUACCCCGAGGAAAAGAAAUCAACCGAGAUUCCCCCAGUAGCGGCGAGCGAACGGGGAGCAGCCCAGAGCCUGAAUCAGUGUGUGUGUUAGUGGAAGCGUCUGGAAAGGCGCGCGAUACAGGGUGACAGCCCCGUACACAAAAAUGCACAUGCUGUGAGCUCGAUGAGUAGGGCGGGACACGUGGUAUCCUGUCUGAAUAUGGGGGGACCAUCCUCCAAGGCUAAAUACUCCUGACUGACCGAUAGUGAACCAGUACCGUGAGGGAAAGGCGAAAAGAACCCCGGCGAGGGGAGUGAAAAAGAACCUGAAACCGUGUACGUACAAGCAGUGGGAGCACGCUUAGGCGUGUGACUGCGUACCUUUUGUAUAAUGGGUCAGCGACUUAUAUUCUGUAGCAAGGUUAACCGAAUAGGGGAGCCGAAGGGAAACCGAGUCUUAACUGGGCGUUAAGUUGCAGGGUAUAGACCCGAAACCCGGUGAUCUAGCCAUGGGCAGGUUGAAGGUUGGGUAACACUAACUGGAGGACCGAACCGACUAAUGUUGAAAAAUUAGCGGAUGACUUGUGGCUGGGGGUGAAAGGCCAAUCAAACCGGGAGAUAGCUGGUUCUCCCCGAAAGCUAUUUAGGUAGCGCCUCGUGAACUCAUCUCCGGGGGUAGAGCACUGUUUCGGCAAGGGGGUCAUCCCGACUUACCAACCCGAUGCAAACUGCGAAUACCGGAGAAUGUUAUCACGGGAGACACACGGCGGGUGCUAACGUCCGUCGUGAAGAGGGAAACAACCCAGACCGCCAGCUAAGGUCCCAAAGUCAUGGUUAAGUGGGAAACGAUGUGGGAAGGCCCAGACAGCCAGGAUGUUGGCUUAGAAGCAGCCAUCAUUUAAAGAAAGCGUAAUAGCUCACUGGUCGAGUCGGCCUGCGCGGAAGAUGUAACGGGGCUAAACCAUGCACCGAAGCUGCGGCAGCGACGCUUAUGCGUUGUUGGGUAGGGGAGCGUUCUGUAAGCCUGUGAAGGUGUGCUGUGAGGCAUGCUGGAGGUAUCAGAAGUGCGAAUGCUGACAUAAGUAACGAUAAAGCGGGUGAAAAGCCCGCUCGCCGGAAGACCAAGGGUUCCUGUCCAACGUUAAUCGGGGCAGGGUGAGUCGACCCCUAAGGCGAGGCCGAAAGGCGUAGUCGAUGGGAAACAGGUUAAUAUUCCUGUACUUGGUGUUACUGCGAAGGGGGGACGGAGAAGGCUAUGUUGGCCGGGCGACGGUUGUCCCGGUUUAAGCGUGUAGGCUGGUUUUCCAGGCAAAUCCGGAAAAUCAAGGCUGAGGCGUGAUGACGAGGCACUACGGUGCUGAAGCAACAAAUGCCCUGCUUCCAGGAAAAGCCUCUAAGCAUCAGGUAACAUCAAAUCGUACCCCAAACCGACACAGGUGGUCAGGUAGAGAAUACCAAGGCGCUUGAGAGAACUCGGGUGAAGGAACUAGGCAAAAUGGUGCCGUAACUUCGGGAGAAGGCACGCUGAUAUGUAGGUGAAGUCCCUCGCGGAUGGAGCUGAAAUCAGUCGAAGAUACCAGCUGGCUGCAACUGUUUAUUAAAAACACAGCACUGUGCAAACACGAAAGUGGACGUAUACGGUGUGACGCCUGCCCGGUGCCGGAAGGUUAAUUGAUGGGGUCAGCGCAAGCGAAGCUCUUGAUCGAAGCCCCGGUAAACGGCGGCCGUAACUAUAACGGUCCUAAGGUAGCGAAAUUCCUUGUCGGGUAAGUUCCGACCUGCACGAAUGGCGUAAUGAUGGCCAGGCUGUCUCCACCCGAGACUCAGUGAAAUUGAACUCGCUGUGAAGAUGCAGUGUACCCGCGGCAAGACGGAAAGACCCCGUGAACCUUUACUAUAGCUUGACACUGAACAUUGAGCCUUGAUGUGUAGGAUAGGUGGGAGGCUUAGAAGUGUGGACGCCAGUCUGCAUGGAGCCGACCUUGAAAUACCACCCUUUAAUGUUUGAUGUUCUAACGUUGACCCGUAAUCCGGGUUGCGGACAGUGUCUGGUGGGUAGUUUGACUGGGGCGGUCUCCUCCUAAAGAGUAACGGAGGAGCACGAAGGUUGGCUAAUCCUGGUCGGACAUCAGGAGGUUAGUGCAAUGGCAUAAGCCAGCUUGACUGCGAGCGUGACGGCGCGAGCAGGUGCGAAAGCAGGUCAUAGUGAUCCGGUGGUUCUGAAUGGAAGGGCCAUCGCUCAACGGAUAAAAGGUACUCCGGGGAUAACAGGCUGAUACCGCCCAAGAGUUCAUAUCGACGGCGGUGUUUGGCACCUCGAUGUCGGCUCAUCACAUCCUGGGGCUGAAGUAGGUCCCAAGGGUAUGGCUGUUCGCCAUUUAAAGUGGUACGCGAGCUGGGUUUAGAACGUCGUGAGACAGUUCGGUCCCUAUCUGCCGUGGGCGCUGGAGAACUGAGGGGGGCUGCUCCUAGUACGAGAGGACCGGAGUGGACGCAUCACUGGUGUUCGGGUUGUCAUGCCAAUGGCACUGCCCGGUAGCUAAAUGCGGAAGAGAUAAGUGCUGAAAGCAUCUAAGCACGAAACUUGCCCCGAGAUGAGUUCUCCCUGACUCCUUGAGAGUCCUGAAGGAACGUUGAAGACGACGACGUUGAUAGGCCGGGUGUGUAAGCGCAGCGAUGCGUUGAGCUAACCGGUACUAAUGAACCGUGAGGCUUAACCUU
This 2904-nucleotide ribosomal RNA is filed under the name Escherichia coli. RNAcentral describes it as "23S ribosomal RNA". It matches the Rfam family "Bacterial large subunit ribosomal RNA". The record is from RNAcentral. Lineage: Bacteria; Pseudomonadati; Pseudomonadota; Gammaproteobacteria; Enterobacterales; Enterobacteriaceae.